UAAUACAGAGACUGCAAGCGUUAUUCGGAUUCACUGGGCGUAAAGGGUGCGCAGGCGGCCAAGUGUGUGAGGCGUGAAAGCCCGGGGCUUAACCCCGGAAUUGCGCCUCAAACUACAUGGCUAGAGCAUUGGAGAGGGUAGCAGAAUUCAUGGUGUAGCAGUGAAAUGCGUAGAUAUCAUGAGGAAUACCAGAGGCGAAGGCGGCUACCUGGACAAUUGCUGACGCUCAGGCACGAAAGCGUGGGGAGCAAAAGGG
This 256-nucleotide ribosomal RNA is filed under the name uncultured bacterium. Its description in RNAcentral is "partial 16S ribosomal RNA". It matches the Rfam family "Bacterial small subunit ribosomal RNA", at positions 521 to 776 of the family's 1533-position model. The record is from RNAcentral.